GCAAACUUGGUCAUUUAGAGGAAGUAAAAGUCGUAACAAGGUUUCCGUAGGUGAACCUGCGGAAGGAUCAUUAUCGAGUCUCAAUCCGGCCUUCUUCUGGCUGUGCAUUCACUUGCACGCUCGAGGGGUGUCGGCUCUUCUGACUUUACACACCUGUGCACCUCGGAUCGCCUAGUGCGAACCGCUCUUUUUUACACCUUUGUUGUAUGUCUUUAGAGUGUUUAUCGGUCGCUCUGUGAUGGAGUGGUCGUGAAAAUUUAAGUACAACUUUCAGCAACGGAUCUCUUGGCUCUCCCAUCGAUGAAGAACGCAGC
RNAcentral lists this unclassified non-coding RNA (314 nucleotides) under uncultured fungus. Its description in RNAcentral is "partial contains small subunit ribosomal RNA, internal transcribed spacer 1, and 5.8S ribosomal RNA". The stretch from base 1 to 73 matches the Rfam family "Eukaryotic small subunit ribosomal RNA", at positions 1759 to 1831 of the family's 1831-position model. The record is from RNAcentral. Lineage: Eukaryota; Fungi.